RNAcentral lists this transfer RNA (66 nucleotides) under Stegodyphus mimosarum. It matches the Rfam family "tRNA". From Rfam's summary of the family: Transfer RNA (tRNA) molecules are approximately 80 nucleotides in length. Their secondary structure includes four short double-helical elements and three loops (D, anti-codon, and T loops). Lineage: Eukaryota; Metazoa; Arthropoda; Arachnida; Araneae; Eresidae. The record is from Rfam by way of RNAcentral.
GCCUUCGUGGUGUAGUGGUCAGCAUGCGUAACCGAGAGGUCCGUGGUUCGAUUCCUGGCGAGGGCA